UCAGAUCAAUGUUCAGAGGUAAUAUGUUUCUGCCCGUAAUUUUCAUUGACUGUCAGCAUGUUCCUUUUUUAUUCAGUACUCUGUAUAUCACGGGGGUAUGACUAUAAUAAGGAUAUAUGGCUGAUGCAUUUUGAACUUCUCUGUUCCUUGGGACAGAACAGAGCUGAUAAAUUAUCUAUUCUUUUUGGCUUUAGUAGUACGAACAGAAAACAGGCAGUAAUAAACGGAGGGAGUACUAUUUUGUUAAUGAAACGGGGUCAUUAUUACGCAUUUUAUCCAACACUAAUGUGCCCUAAAAUUACAGAUCGAUUCAUUCAUCUCAUACCUUUUUGUGAGAGAGUCUGAUGGAUUUCAGUGAGCUUUGCCAAGGUUUUAUCCUCUGUUCCUUGGUACAUUCUUUUACUAUACAACAAUUGGUGUGAUUUUUUUUGUUUAGCUGUACGUUGUAGGAACACAGAACCUGGUUAUUUCAUUAUAUUCGUUGUCUAAUUUAUUUUCUACUACGAGGGAUCAAGUUCAGUAAUUUCUUUUAUCUUCUUUCUUCCUCACAAUUUUACAUUUACUCACUGAGCAGUAAAGGUCUUGGACCUGAAAUUCUUGUAGUACUAAUUUAACAUAAUUGUUCUUCGAGAAAAUGGCUUGUGAAGGUCUUGGACACUGCAAAAAUGGUUUGUCUUGGGUCUUAAUCAUAUUUUCUCUGAACAUUCUGAGCUUGACGUGCUCCUAAUUUACUCAAUGAAUUCAUCCAGGUUGCAGUCCUCAUAGGUUGUCCUGGCGAACUCCAAGACGACGUCGAAGAAAGACUCCGGUUGUACGUCUUGCCCAUAAGGAGGUAAAUACAUAUUCCAAACUCUUCUGUCAUUGCCUAACUUGUUUGUUAGCAGCAAUAUAUAAAACUAUAUAAACUGAACUGCCAACACAUUAUAGCUAAUAUUUUAGUUUGAAAUAUCUGCCAUGCUAUUUUAACAUUGGAAGUUCAAGAACAAUAUACAUAUUCGUGAGCAUGAUGUAUAUGUCUAUGAGCGAAAUAUUUCAAAUUGUAUGUAUAUGUCAGAGUUGCGCAUGUAACUGAGAAAACAGAUCGCUGCUUGUCUACUCAUGUAAUCGAAACUUGAUUUUGUGUUCUACUUGAUGAAUAUGAAAUGAUCUGUCCAUACUUUGUUUUAAAAUGACGUUGACCUUUUUAUGUUUGGACGAUAAAAUGUCGCAUUUGUACAACUAAUGUCAUUCCUCUACAUAUUCAUUUGGGAGUUGUCUGUUAUGUAGUGUAAUUCUUUGUGUUUUGGAUUCUUUGCAGGUUUGGCAGUUAGUUCGUGUUACUAUCGAUCGAGGAUUUUUAGCAGGAAUUACUUGGGUCUGAAAAGCUUCCUGGAAGUGGUGGUGUAGUGUUGGAGAUUAAAAUUAUGUAGUAGUGCAGUUUCAAUGAUGUCAUGUUACUUGAUUUUUAUUAAAUGCUUAUGCUUACAACACCUUGUAAAUAUCCUUGUGAUGUUUUGAUAUUAAUUUUGCUUUUUGAAAUCAGAUCAGAUUUUUGGAAAUUUGUAUUGUCUUGUUGAAUGAAUAUAAUUGCAUGUCUUGUUGUAAAAUAUGAUUGAGAAGAUGAGCUGGGGUGAA
RNAcentral lists this long non-coding RNA (1614 nucleotides) under Hordeum vulgare. Its description in RNAcentral is "long non-coding RNA (HVUL_LNC020508)". The record is from RNAcentral. Lineage: Eukaryota; Viridiplantae; Streptophyta; Magnoliopsida; Poales; Poaceae.